RNAcentral lists this antisense RNA (75 nucleotides) under Streptomyces sp. 3211.6. RNAcentral describes it as "ASpks TB sRNA". It matches the Rfam family "ASpks TB sRNA". The record is from RNAcentral. Lineage: Bacteria; Bacillati; Actinomycetota; Actinomycetes; Kitasatosporales; Streptomycetaceae. RNAcentral also lists the same sequence under 1 other name.
CUUGAACGAGCCGAGCCACAGCGGCUCCCCGCCGUCGCGGUCCUGGCCGUAGGUGGCGAGCAGGGCGUGCGCCUC